This 441-nucleotide ribosomal RNA is filed under the name uncultured bacterium. RNAcentral's name for it is "bacterial SSU rRNA". It matches the Rfam family "Bacterial small subunit ribosomal RNA", at positions 338 to 795 of the family's 1533-position model. The record is from RNAcentral.
CCUANGGGUGGCAGCAGCAAGGAAUAGUAGGCAAUGGGCGAAAGCCUGACCUCGCGACGCCGCGUGAAGGAUGAAGGCCUUCGGGUCGUAAACUUCUUUUUUCAGGGAUGAAUAAUGACAGUACCUGGAGAAUAAGUCACGGCUAACUACGUGCCAGCAGCCGCGGUAAUACGUAGGUGGCUAGCGUUAUCCGGAUUUACUGGGCGUAAAGCGUGCGCAGGCGGCCUUUCAAGUCAGGUGUAAAAUCUCCCGGCUCAACUGGGAGGGACCAUCUGAUACUGUUGGGCUAGAGUGCAGCAGAGGAAAGCGGAAUUCCCGGUGUAGUGGUGGAAUGCGUAGAUAUCGGGAGGAACACCAGUGGCGAAAGCGGCUUUCCAGGCUGUUACUGACGCUGUUGCACGAAAGCGUGGGUAGCAAACAGGAUUAGAUACCCGGNUANUC